Molecule: ribosomal RNA, 253 nt
Filed under: uncultured bacterium
Lineage: Bacteria
Description: partial 16S ribosomal RNA
Rfam family: Bacterial small subunit ribosomal RNA
Source: RNAcentral
UACGUAGGUGGCAAGCGCUGUCCGGAUUUACUGGGCGUAAAGGGCGUGCAGGCGGUCUGUUAAGUCUAGGGUGAAAGCUCCCGGCUCAACUGGGAGAGGUCCUUGGAUACUGGCGGACUUGAGGGAGGUAGAGGAAAGUGGAAUUCCCGGUGUAGUGGUGAUAUGCGUAGAUAUCGGGAGGAACACCAGUGGCGAAGGCGGCUUUCUGGGCCUUACCUGACGCUGAGACGCGAAAGCGUGGGGAGCGAACCGG